GGGGGAUAUUGCACAAUGGAGGAAACUCUGAUGCAGCAACGCCGCGUGAGGGAAGAAGGUCUUCGGAUUGUAAACCUUUGUCCUUGGUGACGAAACAAAUGACGGUUGCCAAGGAGGAAGCUCCGGCUAACUACGUGCCAGCAGCCGCGGUAAUACGUAGGGAGCAAGCGUUGUCCGGAUUUACUGGGUGUAAAGGGUGCGUAGGCGGCUCUGCAAGUCAGGCGUGAAAACUAUGGGCUUAACCCAUAGACUGCGUUUGAAACUGUGGGGCUUGAGUGAAGUAGAGGUAGGCGGAAUUCCUAGUGUAGCGGUGAGAUGCGUAGUGAUCGGGAGGAACACCAGUGGCGAAGGCGGCCUACUGGGCUUUAACUGACGCUGAAGCACGAAAGCAUGGGUAGCAAAC
This 403-nucleotide ribosomal RNA is filed under the name uncultured bacterium. RNAcentral's name for it is "bacterial SSU rRNA". It matches the Rfam family "Bacterial small subunit ribosomal RNA", at positions 356 to 773 of the family's 1533-position model. The record is from RNAcentral.